CCACCUACCCUUUACUCUUGUAUUUCAAUGCAUUUAAGAAAUAAAAUUAUACGGAACCUUAAUGAUCCCAUGGAUCAACCUCUAAUGAAGUCUCCAGGUUCCGUCGGCAUGACCUAGAAUCUCUGUCGUAGGUUGAAAGUACACUAACUUAAAUGAUCUAAUUUCAAACCAUUCCCAUGGGGUUUUGUUAUCUCCAAGUAUCCUUCUAUGUGUACACAUAGGAAGACGAAUGAUUAACUAGACAAGGAUGAAUGAUUUGGUUUGGAUGGGCAAAGCAUGUCAUAGUCAGAUACAGUGAAGCUUGUAACCUCGUGCUAAGAAGAGGAUAUUGCAGAAUUGGUAAUGGACAUUCUUGAGCAUGUGUUCGAGCCUUCAUAAUCGGUAUAUCGAAGGGGUAUACGAUAGCGUGACUGUUUGUCGGUGAUUCAAUGGUAGGGCCGUUUUGCAAAGUGUACAUUAUUUGAUAACAAGAGAGGGACUGGGGAGUGUAUUUUUUAGGUAAAGUGGAACAUAAUUAAAUAAUAAAUUUUUGGAAAA
Long non-coding RNA from Populus trichocarpa (black cottonwood), 537 nucleotides. RefSeq lists it as uncharacterized. The record is from RefSeq and is a predicted model, not a curated record. The transcript is spliced from 2 exons. NCBI's taxonomy places the organism in Eukaryota, Viridiplantae, Streptophyta, Magnoliopsida, Malpighiales, Salicaceae.